This 691-nucleotide long non-coding RNA is filed under the name Malus domestica (apple). RNAcentral's name for it is "long non-coding RNA (MDOM_LNC006087)". Lineage: Eukaryota; Viridiplantae; Streptophyta; Magnoliopsida; Rosales; Rosaceae. The record is from RNAcentral.
CGAUGUAUGGAUGACUCUUAUACAUCAAAUGGCAAAGACACGAAUUAGGACUAUCUCAAUAAAUGAUAUAUGUCCUAAAUAGUGUAUCCAUGGACAAUGGAUUGAUUGAAGAAGUAAUCUAAUGAUGUUAGACUACAGAGACCUUCUUCACAUAACCAUUAUGUCUAAAAGGUUCCUAGUCAUUGGAUUGUCGGAGGGAAACUGACAUGCUUAGACCGGUACAUACUGUGUCCACUUCAAAUGGAAGGAUGGAAAGUCUCAUCCCAUUCGUGUUGUGACACUAAGACAAGUAUGUAAGUGCUCAUUAAGAGAAUGAGUUCACUGAACACAAUCGAACGAGAGUACUUGCAUGGAGGUCUACUCACAUGUCAAGCAAGUAACUCUAAUGGUUGGAAUAAUGUAAGUAGUCCUUUGACCUGAGGCAUCGUCGUUGUCUUGUGGCUAAGUACUUAAUCUUUGAUUAUGUCAAAGUCACCCCAUUCGCAGAUGUCCACGGCAUAAUUGGGGUUAAGCCACUUAGUCAUGAAGGCAAGUGAAUGCGCAACAAGGAAUCUCUAAUCCUCGAUAAGAGAGGAAGAAUACUCUAAGAUAUGAUUCGGGAAUCUUCGGCCGAAGUAUCUAGCGUAAUAAAGGAAAGCGUUCCUAUACGACUCAAUUGAAUCAUAUAAGAAGGAAUAAUCACAUUAGGGGU